CUUUCCUGCGGCUAGCUGAAGAACUGGGGGUGGGGAGUGUGGUGAGGAAGGAGUUGGAGAGGCCCUGUUGAGGAGGCCGAGACUCAGAAGAGCCUGGGAUAAUCGGGACCGAGAUCGCCUAAGGAAUGGGUCUCUGAGUGGAGGGGCCAAGGCAGAAAAACCCGUCCUGCUGGCUGAGGCCUGGCUUGGCCCGGCCACACUGCUGCCAGUCUGGCUGAGCUGCACUCUGCAAAAUACGUGACCAGAUGAAGCCAUAGGAGAUAGUGGCAGUUGUGGGGCAGAGGUGCAAGCCUGCCUACCUGCUGCCCAGAGACCGGCUUGACUCCAAGACCCCAGUGUCUGACGAGGCCUGACCUGCCUUAGCUGCUCAGGAUUGAGAAAAUCUCUGAUUCAUAAUAAAAUGGUCUACGAGUUCCCGAGCUCUUAGAAAGUACUGGAACUUAUGCUAUAAGCAGAGCGUGAUGACCUAGGAUGCAUUUACACUGCAGCAGUUAAAAAAGAAGUGAAUUCAUACAUGCUGACAUGGAAAAAUGGCCAAAAUACAUAGUUACGUGAAGAAAACAAGUUGCAAAGCAAUAUUUAAAGCAUGAUUCUAUUAAAAGUGUGUGUGUUGUGUAGUAUACUAUCUAUACUAUGCAAGUGUAUGUAGAUGUGUUGAUAUACAUGUUUGAAAAGCCAAAAAGGACAUUUGUCAUGUUACCAGUUAUCUACGGCGUUGGACCAGAUUUGAGGGGGAGGUAGUUUACUGGGGAGUGGAACAUGGGACACUUCCAUUUCUAAAUUUUUAUCAUCUUUCAGGUGGAAGAGUUACAAAUGAUUUUUGCUUUUUAAAAAGUAUUUCCAACCCCCCCAAAAAAACCCACAAUGAAAAAAAUGAAAAAUAAAAACAGAAAAAGAAAAAGAAAGAGGAAAAGUAAAAUAAAGAAAAAAGACCAAAAAAAGAAAAAAAUACUACAAAAAAGAGUAAAAACUAUUUUCCCUAUUCUUUUUUAUUUGUUUUGUUUUGAAAACUACUUUCCAGCAGUAUCCUGCUUUAUUUUAUUUUUUUAUUGAAAUAUAGUCAGUUUACAACAUUGUGUUAAUUUGUGGGGUACAGCAUAGUGAUUCCAUUUUAUAUACAUAUUCCUUGUCAUAUUCUUUUUCAUUACAGGUUAUUACAAGGUAUUGAAUACAGUUCCCUGUCCUGUACAGUAGUUCCUUAUUGUUUAU
Molecule: long non-coding RNA, 1209 nt
Organism: Camelus dromedarius (Arabian camel)
Lineage: Eukaryota; Metazoa; Chordata; Mammalia; Artiodactyla; Camelidae
Exons: 4
Source: RefSeq, a predicted model, not a curated record